GUCUCAGUAGCAUAGCGUUUAGCGCACUGCCCUGGAUAGGUUGAGACGUAGGUUCGAAUCCCGCCUGAAAUG
This 72-nucleotide transfer RNA is filed under the name Nippostrongylus brasiliensis. It matches the Rfam family "tRNA". From Rfam's summary of the family: Transfer RNA (tRNA) molecules are approximately 80 nucleotides in length. Their secondary structure includes four short double-helical elements and three loops (D, anti-codon, and T loops). Lineage: Eukaryota; Metazoa; Nematoda; Chromadorea; Rhabditida; Heligmosomidae. The record is from Rfam by way of RNAcentral.